GAUGAACGCUAGCUACAGGCUUAACACAUGCAAGUCGAGGGGAAACGAUGAGAGAGCUUGCUCUCUUAGGCGUCGACCGGCGCACGGGUGAGUAACGCGUAUCCAACCUACCCAUUACAGGGGGAUAACCUUGCGAAAGUAAGACUAAUACCCCAUGGCAUUUUAUGGUGGCAUCAUUAUAGGAUUAAAGAUUUAUUGGUAAUGGAUGGGGAUGCGUCUGAUUAGCUUGUUGGCGGGGUAACGGCCCACCAAGGCAACGAUCAGUAGGUGUUCUGAGAGGAAGGUCCCCCACAUUGGAACUGAGACACGGUCCAAACGCCUACGGGAGGCAGCAGUGAGGAAUAUUGGUCAAUGGGCGAGAGCUUGAACCAGCCAAGUAGCGUGCAGGAGGACGGCCCUAUGGGUUGUAAACUGCUUUUAUAGGGGAAUAAAGUGAGAUACGUGUAGUUUAUUGAAUGUACCCUAUGAAUAAGGACCGGCUAAUUCCGUG
RNAcentral lists this ribosomal RNA (490 nucleotides) under uncultured bacterium. Its description in RNAcentral is "partial 16S ribosomal RNA". It matches the Rfam family "Bacterial small subunit ribosomal RNA", at positions 28 to 507 of the family's 1533-position model. The record is from RNAcentral.